UUGCUGUGAUGUAAGAAUUUCUUCACCUGAAUCCACUAUGUGGAUUAAAAUGAGCUUUUUAACACUGAGCAAC
Molecule: small nucleolar RNA, 73 nt
Organism: Engraulis encrasicolus (European anchovy)
Lineage: Eukaryota; Metazoa; Chordata; Actinopteri; Clupeiformes; Engraulidae
Source: RefSeq, a predicted model, not a curated record